Molecule: ribosomal RNA, 190 nt
Filed under: uncultured Actinomycetales bacterium
Lineage: Bacteria; Bacillati; Actinomycetota; Actinomycetes; Actinomycetales
Description: partial 16S ribosomal RNA
Rfam family: Bacterial small subunit ribosomal RNA
Source: RNAcentral
GGAUAAGCCUGGGAAACUGGGUCUAAUACUGGAUAUGACCUUUCUCCUUAUGGGGUUUGGUGGAAAGUUUUUCGGUGUAGGAUGAGCCCGCGGCCUAUCAGCUUGUUGGUGGGGUGAUGGCCUACCAAGGCGACGACGGGUAGCGGCCUGAGAGGGUGAUCGGCCACAUUGGGACUGAGAUACGGCCCAG